CAGACCUAGAAGUAGCAAUAUGGAGGCCAUUACCAAGGUGGGGAAAACUGGAGCAGCAAAGCUCUUGUGCCUGGUCUCAAGCUCUGGAAUUGCAGACUGUGGCAAGAAUGUCCAGAUAUUUGUAAUUCCCACCCAGAGUAGAAGCUAAGGAGCCAAACUCUUGGUCUCCGUUACUCUUUUCGGAUGGGGAAUGAGAGUCGGCUCCUCCCCUGGCACCUGUACUUCACCAACUGUUCCUAAUUAUGAGAGUAUUUGAUGGAACCUAGUUUGAUAAACAAACGAAAAGCCCUUGGUAAUUGUCACAGUGGUGAAAGCAUUUACAUCCAUAGGAAUGGAGAAGAAGUUUUGGAAAGCGCACUGAAACUCCAGCACUCACAACCCAGCUCCACCUUGGCCUGACACCCCGCCCUCCAUCCCACCUGGAUGCUCAUGGGCUUGGCUCCUGGCCAUCAUUGAUCUUACCUGGAAGCUAAUGGCAUGUGAACCCCGGGGCCCCCUUACGUGUCCAGACACCUUCCCGAGACUCUAAGAGGUGUCCUAGCAAUGUGUGCACUCAGACCGACCUUUAAAAACAUCUACACUCUAACU
Molecule: long non-coding RNA, 588 nt
Organism: Herpailurus yagouaroundi (jaguarundi)
Lineage: Eukaryota; Metazoa; Chordata; Mammalia; Carnivora; Felidae
Exons: 2
Source: RefSeq, a predicted model, not a curated record